This 20-nucleotide microRNA is filed under the name Zea mays. RNAcentral describes it as "zma-miR167g-3p". Its record names the gene zma-miR167g-3p. The record is from miRBase by way of RNAcentral. Lineage: Eukaryota; Viridiplantae; Streptophyta; Magnoliopsida; Poales; Poaceae.
GGUCAUGCUGUAGUUUCAUC